Toxotes jaculatrix (banded archerfish) is the source of this 554-nucleotide long non-coding RNA. RefSeq lists it as uncharacterized. The transcript has 2 exons. Lineage: Eukaryota; Metazoa; Chordata; Actinopteri; Toxotidae. The record is from RefSeq and is a predicted model, not a curated record.
UCUGACUGUUAGCUUGUUAGCUUCCGUUAGCCGGCUGAACUGGACACAGUCCGACUGCAGGUGGUUCAGGAGGUCCACAAGCUAACCCGGGAUCUUCGCUGCUCUUCACCAGGUGCCACAGACGCAGACCCUCCUCCUCCUCGCCCUCCAGCAUCGGUGUUUCUUUAGCAACCACACACAGACCGUCAGUCACCACGACCACCAAUAAGAAAACAGACUGUCGAUCACACUGAAGACAGGUGUUGGUUCUACGUGGUUCCCUUUGUGUUGAUGUUCUAAAUGUUUUGGAGGGUCUAGAUGUUGUGUUUGUGUGCAACAUGCUCUGUGUUUCUCCUUGUGCUGGUCUAAGGUUCUAGAUGUUGGUUUGUGUUGGUUCUCAAUUUAAAUGUUCUUGGUGAUCCUCUCUGUCUUGGUUGUGGGUUCUACAUGUGCAAGAUCCUUCUGUUGUGUUGGGUCUGGGUUCUGCGUAUUGUUGAUAUCCUAAAUGUUCUAGAUGGUCUGGACUUUGUGUUUGUUCUGGGUUUUUAAAUGUUCUAAAGAUUUGUGUGUGUUCA